Molecule: long non-coding RNA, 224 nt
Filed under: Panax ginseng (ginseng)
Lineage: Eukaryota; Viridiplantae; Streptophyta; Magnoliopsida; Apiales; Araliaceae
Description: long non-coding RNA (PGIN_LNC015126)
Source: RNAcentral
AAAGAAGAGAUGCAGACGACCAAGGUUAAACAACAUGACAUCGUCAGCAUGAAUGCAGGCUUGGUCCAUAAGAAUGAGAUUCUGAGGACUAAAAAUGAAGACCUGGCCUCUGCCAAUUCAAGUCUGGCCAGGCAAAUUGACGAAGUCCAGGUAAAAGCCCGAGUUGAUAAAGAAAGGCAUUUGGUCAGACGUCGCAAGCUUCAAAGUAAGCUGCAAGCCUUGGA